AAUGGUUGGGAUAGCUCAGUUUGAAGACGCCGGACUGAAUAA
Molecule: transfer RNA, 42 nt
Filed under: Colchicum capense subsp. ciliolatum
Lineage: Eukaryota; Viridiplantae; Streptophyta; Magnoliopsida; Liliales; Colchicaceae
Description: Androcymbium ciliolatum partial transfer RNA-Phe
Source: RNAcentral